Molecule: ribosomal RNA, 251 nt
Filed under: uncultured bacterium
Lineage: Bacteria
Description: partial 16S ribosomal RNA
Rfam family: Bacterial small subunit ribosomal RNA
Source: RNAcentral
GCAAGUCGAGGGGUAACAUGAGUGCUUGCACUUGAUGACGACCGGCGCACGGGUGCGUAACGCGUAUGCAACCUACCUAUAACAGAGGGAUAGCCCAGAGAAAUUUGGAUUAAUACCUCAUGGUAUCAUUAGAUCGCAUGAGAAGAUGAUUAAAACUUUGGUGGUUAUAGAUGGGCAUGCGUCUGAUUAGAUAGUUGGUGAGGUAACGGCUCACCAAGUCAACGAUCAGUAGGGGGUCUGAGAGGAUGAUC